This 202-nucleotide unclassified non-coding RNA is filed under the name plant metagenome. RNAcentral's name for it is "partial contains small subunit ribosomal RNA and internal transcribed spacer 1". The stretch from base 1 to 45 matches the Rfam family "Eukaryotic small subunit ribosomal RNA", at positions 1787 to 1831 of the family's 1831-position model. The record is from RNAcentral.
AGUCGUAACAAGGUUUCCGUAGGUGAACCUGCGGAAGGAUCAUUAUCGUAGGGCUUUUGUCCUGUCGAGAUAGCGUCCUUGGCCCUAUUUUUUAGGAGCACCGUUCGUUUCCUCAGCAGGCUUGCCUGCUACUGGGGAACCCCUUCAAACUCUUUGUAAACUACAGUAAUUCGUCUGAAAAAUCAAAGCAAAAAGUCAAAAG